Molecule: ribosomal RNA, 158 nt
Filed under: Acidobacteriota bacterium
Lineage: Bacteria; Pseudomonadati; Acidobacteriota
Description: Acidobacteria bacterium partial 23S ribosomal RNA
Rfam family: Bacterial large subunit ribosomal RNA
Source: RNAcentral
AAGGAUAAUCGCUGAAAGCAUAUAAGCGAGAAGCCAACCCCAAGAUGAGUUCUCCCUGAAGACCCGUGGUAGAUCACCACGUUGAUAGGCUGGAUGUGUAAGGUUGCCGCGAGGCCCUUAGCUAACCAGUACUAAUCGGUCGUUUGACUUGACCAUAU